Molecule: ribosomal RNA, 812 nt
Filed under: Halomonas sp.
Lineage: Bacteria; Pseudomonadati; Pseudomonadota; Gammaproteobacteria; Oceanospirillales; Halomonadaceae
Description: bacterial SSU rRNA
Rfam family: Bacterial small subunit ribosomal RNA
Source: RNAcentral
GCUAGAGUGCAGGAGAGGAAGGUAGAAUUCCCGGUGUAGCGGUGAAUGCGUAGAGAUCGGGAGGAAUACCAGUGGCGAAGGCGGCCUUCUGGACUGACACUGACANUGAGGUGCGAAAGCGUGGGUAGCAAACAGGAUUAGAUACCCUGGUAGUCCACGCNGUNAACGAUGUCGACCAGCCGUUGGGUGCCUAGCGCACUUUGUGGCGAAGUUAACGNGAUAAGUCGACCGCCUGGGGAGUACGGCCGCAAGGUUAAAACUCAAAUGAAUUGACGGGGGCCCGCACAAGCGGUGGAGCAUGUGGUUUANUUCGAUGCAACGCGAAGAACCUUACCUACUCUUGACAUCCUGCGAACUUGUGAGAGAUCACUUGGUGCCUUCGGGAACGCAGAGACAGGUGCUGCAUGGCUGUNGUCAGCUCGUGUUNUGAAAUGUUGGGUUAAGUCCCGUAACGAGCGCANCCCUUGUCCUUAUUUGCCAGCGGGUAAUGCCGGGAACUCUAAGGAGACUGCCGGUGACAAACCGGAGGAAGGUGGGGANGACGUCAAGUCAUCAUGGCCCUUACGAGUAGGGCUACACACGUGCUACAAUGGCCGGUACAAAGGGUUGCGAGCUCGCGAGAGUCAGCUAAUCCNGAAAAGCCGGUCUCAGUCCGGAUCGGAGUCUGCAACUCGACUCCGUGAAGUCGGAAUCGCUAGUAAUCGUGAAUCAGAAUGUCACGGUGAAUACGUUCCCGGGCCUUGUACACACCGCCCGUCACACCAUGGGAGUGGACUGCACCAGAAGUGGUUAGCUUAACCUUCGGGAAAGCG